UACAGAGGUCUCAAGCGUUGUUCGGAUUCAUUGGGCGUAAAGCGCACGUAGGCGGUCCGGUAAGUCGGAUGUGAAAUCCCUCGGCUCAACCGAGGAAGGGCAUCCGAAACUGCCGGGCUUGAGUACGGAAGAGGGUCUCGGAAUUCCCGGUGUAGAGGUGAAAUUCGUAGAUAUCGGGAGGAACACCAGUGGCGAAGGCGGAGACCUGGGCCGAUACUGACGCUGAGGUGCGAAAGCGUGGGGAGCAAACAGG
RNAcentral lists this ribosomal RNA (253 nucleotides) under uncultured bacterium. RNAcentral describes it as "partial 16S ribosomal RNA". It matches the Rfam family "Bacterial small subunit ribosomal RNA", at positions 524 to 776 of the family's 1533-position model. The record is from RNAcentral.